CCCACACUCCAGUCACAGGAGCCAUCUCAUCUCUCCAUUAUGCCAAAAACAUUCUAGCUCUGCAGGCAUUUAUACAUCUCUAACUAAUUUAUCUUGUUUAUCCUCCAUGGAAUAUAUCUUGUAUAGACACAUUUAAGUUGGGUCCCCAGUGAAGCCAGCUUACUGUCUGGAGCGGCUGAAAUUCCUCUGUGCCACACUUCAGGUACUCUCUUGCUGAGCUGUGAUCCCUCUCCAAGCUCUGAGUAUCUAUUGCAGGUUUGCACAGGCAGGGGGAAGAGGAAGAAAGAGACUACCAAGUAUGGCAAGUUCUGUUUUCUUCUUUAUAUAUAAUUGUGCUUUGCCAUUUUGCAGGGGAUAAAAACCCUUCUAUUAGUGUAGAAACAUAAACUGUAUAAUAUUUUUUGGAUUUUUUUUUAUCAGCAGAGAAAAGACAGGAAGAGUCGGUAUUUCAUAUUGAAACCUAAAAAUGGGACACAGUGUAUUCUUUACCAACAAAAGAGAAGAGGGUGCAAUAAAUACUUGAAGAUAAAAUUUUGUUGAUUGUUUUGGGCUACUAAAGUGAUAAUACUGGCUACAUCUCACCCAUACAUCCUCACGCAGUUGAGGACUGACAUGGUACAAGAAAAAUCUGUGUCCAGAUGUUACAUUGUAUUUUGUCCCCAUCCAGUCAUCUCAUGAUAUUUUUGUGUUAAGAACACUUUUGCCAUCUCUCUUCUCUUCCAUCUACAUCAUAAAAAUCUAGGACAAAAUGACUAUACUCAUCAGUAUCCUAUUACAGAAGUGGUAUGAACAUAUUUGAAUCUGCAUGGAACAGGAUUAAAACUCUUGAAGUAGCAAGCUUGACAAAUUGUUUAAGCAUAAAAAAAAAGUCAUAGUCUUAAAAUUAAAUUUGAUACAGAAGCAUUGUAGGAAUGUCUUACAUAAAACAGAGAUUUCAGUUCUUGGCAUUCCUGCUGACAGGGCAACAGAGGCCCAGAAAUCAAAAGACUUCUGCUGGAAAAGGAAUAUUCUUACUUGCUAUAUCCCUAUUCCUGUGAACACAAAAACAUGCUGAGACAAAGCUUUAAAUUCCCUACUUCAUGCACAAGAUAAGGAUUUUAUUUUGUUCUGCAAAACUGUAAUUAAUCUGAUGCUAGAGUUGAAUGAUACCUGUAGAGCAUAUGAAACUUGGAAUGUCAAACAACUUAGAAAACCACAAUGCUAUCAGCCCUUGCCUUACAAAUUGCACUUUCUGUAGGAUGGGAAAACUCAACAAGUCCCCACUGUCCCUUUCAUAAAGGCAUAAGCAGUUUUGCACAAGAUUCAUUUUGCUGACAUCCAAGUCUAACCUGGUUUUAAACUAUAGAGCAUUUUCUCUCACUGGACACCCGAGCUUUUUGGGGCAGGACUCUGAAAACCCUACAGUUUUGGAGUGGCUGUAGCUAGAAUUAUUUCUCCAAAAAGGUUCUUAAAGAGUGAAAAAAGAAAAUUAGAUAAAAGCCUAAUUGUGUUGAACAAAGCCUGGAAAUUCUCAAAGAAAACUGACUCAGAAAAAAACAAGACUUGUACACAGCUGUUCUCCUCACUGUGUGUUUAAAGGUGAGUUGCUACUUCCAGGCAUCUCAGCAAUUUUUUGAGUUGCAGUGAACUGCAGCAUUCUCUGGCCCCUGGGCAGAUCUGAGUCACUGCUCAAAGCUCUCUCUGCUCCCGACUGCACUAUUUGUUUAAGCAUGAGCUGCAGACUCCCAGGUCAGUACAGUCAUUCUUGCCCCUCUUACGUUUCCCUCUCAGCCAUCUUCUCCUCACAGGUCUUGAUGCCUAAAAAAACACAUAAUACAUAUUCAGAAAAGCAAGUAAAAGAGAUGCAAAUUCUAUCAUAAAUCUUGAUGAAAACAUCCAGUAUGGUCCUCCAUGUGUACAGGUGUCAAGAACAAUACUGAGCUGCAAUGCAAAUUCCUGGUCAGAAGAAAGAUUCUCCUUGCAAAACCAUGAUCUUGUCCAAAUUCCUUCCUAGAACUCUUCUCUUAGGGCAUGUUCAGACCUACAAACUGUUCCAAAUUGUCCAAGAGAAGGAAACAGGGCAGCCUCAGGGGGUGCCCAUCUCCAUUGACCACAAAUCUACUGAAAGCACUGGCAAUGUCUCAGACUUCUGGUAAGCAGUUGGACUGAAAUAAGAAGAGCAGCUUUCUAGCUUCAGGCCACUUAGAAAAGCUAUAGGAAAAGAAAAAGCAAAUUUUUUAGAAAGCAAUUUGUAGACCGGCUGUUUACUGCUCUUCUCUGCCUGGAUGGAAAAUCCUUUUAUGGAGUAGCUUAGAACAAAAGAUCAGUACAAGUGUAAAACUUCUUGUCAGAGUUAUUGCAGCAAA
Molecule: non-coding RNA, 2345 nt
Organism: Taeniopygia guttata (zebra finch)
Lineage: Eukaryota; Metazoa; Chordata; Aves; Passeriformes; Estrildidae
Source: RefSeq, a predicted model, not a curated record